RNAcentral lists this ribosomal RNA (490 nucleotides) under uncultured bacterium. Its description in RNAcentral is "partial 16S ribosomal RNA". It matches the Rfam family "Bacterial small subunit ribosomal RNA", at positions 29 to 507 of the family's 1533-position model. The record is from RNAcentral.
AGUGAACGCUGGCGGUAGGCCUAACACAUGCAAGUCGAACGGCAGCACAGGAGAGCUUGCUCUCUAGGUGGCGAGUGGCGGACGGGUGAGGAAUACAUCGGAAUCUGCCCAGUCGUGGGGGAUAACGUAGGGAAACUUACGCUAAUACCGCAUACGACCUUCGGGUGAAAGAGGGGGAUCGCAAGACCUCUCGCGAUUGGAUGAGCCGAUGUCGGAUUAGCUAGUUAGCGGGGUAAUGGCCCACCAAGGCGACGAUCCGUAGCUGGUCUGAGAGGAUGAUCAGCCACACUGGAACUGAGACACGGUCCAGACUCCUACGGGAGGCAGCAGUGGGGAAUAUUGGACAAUGGGCGCAAGCCUGAUCCAGCCAUACCGCGUGGGUGAAGAAGGCCUUCGGGUUGUAAAGCCCUUUUGUUGGGAAAGAAAUCUUUCAGGCUAAUACCCUGGGAGGAUGACGGUACCCAAAGAAUAAGCCCCGGCUAACUUCGUG